UUCAGAAAAUCCUGUAUCAGAUGUCAGUUCUGCUGAUGUCAUCAAUUGUUCAGUCUCAAAGCUCUCUCUCACAGGUAAGAAGUCAUCAUGUCUUCCUUUGUCAUCGAUCAGCCUCUACCCGUCAUGGAGUCCAAGGAGUCUGACCAGUGGAGUUCCGAAAUCUGUGACUGCACCGAUGACAUGGCAGACUAUUUGUGUGCUGUUUUGGAUUCUGGUGUUGUCCCUGCCAUGCCUGUAUACAUACAAGGGAGUACGGACAGUGUCUUUGUCUCCCUCUGCUGGACAUCUUCGGCAUCAUCCCACCCGUCACAAUGUCCAUGAGGGUGUCCAUGCGCCAGCGCUACGGCAUCAAAGAAUUAAUAACUUUCUGGUGCUGGGCCAUUCCAAUGUCUGCUAUAUAACCAUUGUUGUAAAUUUGCUGACUGUGUCUCCGGGGCACCAUCUGUAACGACUGUGUGAAUGCCACCUGCUGCAACUGCUGUGUCUGGUGCCAGAUGUCCAGAGAGAGGAAGAGCCGCAACAUCCCCAUUGUCCUGGUCAGUGCUAGGAAGUAGGAACGAAUGACCAACAUGUUCCCAUAACCUCAAUGUCACCGUAGUCAUCACAAUACAGCCGUAACCUUUUUCAGAGUCAUGUUUCUGUGUUUAUAGAAUGGAUAUUUAUUCCUACAUGCCUGAAUUGUCAGAUUGUUUGACAAGAAGUCAUUGUAAACAGUGUAUAUUAAAACAAUAUUUAUGUAUGCUUAAAGUGAUGUAUAUAUGUCAUUCUAUGAACUAUUAUGC
This is a non-coding RNA of Salmo salar (Atlantic salmon), 782 nucleotides long. NCBI's taxonomy places the organism in Eukaryota, Metazoa, Chordata, Actinopteri, Salmoniformes, Salmonidae. The record is from RefSeq and is a predicted model, not a curated record.